This 215-nucleotide long non-coding RNA is filed under the name Mytilus galloprovincialis (Mediterranean mussel). The record is from RNAcentral. Lineage: Eukaryota; Metazoa; Mollusca; Bivalvia; Mytilida; Mytilidae.
GUGUUAUUAAAACUUGCUGUUAAAAAAUGAUAGAAAUUAUUAUAAAUUAAGGAAUGUAUCUCCCUCAUGCAAAGCUCUGAUUCCUUUCACGGAUUUGGCUAUACUUUUUGAACCUUUUGGAUUAUAGCUCUUCAUCUUUUAUAUAAGCUUUGGAUUUCAAAUAUUUUGGCCACGAGCAUCACUGAAGAGACAUGUAUUGUCGAAAUGCGCAUCUG